This is a long non-coding RNA of Syzygium oleosum, 3113 nucleotides long. RefSeq lists it as uncharacterized. Lineage: Eukaryota; Viridiplantae; Streptophyta; Magnoliopsida; Myrtales; Myrtaceae. The record is from RefSeq and is a predicted model, not a curated record. The transcript has 3 exons.
UGUUCUUUUCAAAAGAGAGAGAUCCGCUAUAUAAAUCACAAGUGGAAGAAGACCCAUCACUCGGUAUAAGGGCAUGUUCCAAAACCCUAAUUUCCGCCGUUCAUGCUCUCACGCCCAUGUCGUAAACGAGAGUUCUUGUGGAAACAGAAGAUGGGUCGUCCUCCACCAAGAUCUUUGGUGGGCUAUUUGCCAAGAAGGAGAUGAGAAUCCUGCAAGCAUACAAGAUCAAGAAUGGUGGGUUUGUGACUGACCCACCAAUGGAUGGGUUCUGAUGUGGAGGUAUGGAAUGCAAGAACGUCAGCUUUAGCAGUUGGGAAAUCUGAUGCCAGGACUCAGGAUCAGGUAAGUGGAGUUUUCGCACCAGAACCCCACAUCUUGAUAUGGUGGGUGAACUUGAUAUGCUUCCUCGCUAUAGUGGUCUGCUUCUGUGAGAAAAAACAGAAGAAGCCAUUUUUCACUCUCCCUGUAUCCAUAUGGUGCUUAUGGACGGUCUUGUGCUAAUUAGGUUAUUACUGCAGUAGCACGCAACAUAAGUAUAAGCUAGAGCGACCAGCAAGCCACCUUGUCUUUCAGUUUUCACCUCGUUUCUAAAUGGGGGAAGGCUAUCCACGCGGUGGCGGACAGUAUCUGCAUCAUUGUCUUCAUUAGAUUUUGGAACUUUGAAGUGCUUAUGGACGGUCUUGUGCUGAUUAUUGCUCCAUCAGCACAUAACAUAAUUCAUAAGCUACAGUUAGAUGCCACUCUUUCUCCAUUAGCUUUCUCUUCUUGCUAUUCAGGGAAAGCUAACCAAAUUGUGGCAGAUAUCCAUGUACAUGGGUAAAAACGAUUUUUGCCAUUCUUUCAAUCCAUUAUCCAUUUCUUUCCAGCCGUCUAAUCCAUUUAAGCUUACAAAUUAUAGCAUGCACAUCAAAUGUUUGACGAGCAUUCUAGACGAAUUAUUGAUAGCUAAAGGGCUGAAAAUCAGUGCCAUCAGAAUGUUUCGUCAUCAAUAUUUACUAAAUUUAUGUCUACAUAAGUUCCUCAUACACAUGUUAUAUUGAAUAGGGAUGAACUGAUGUCCUUUUCUGCAUUUGCCAAUUAGCAAGACCUUUCGGAGGCCAUGAAUGCUGCUGGAAUCACUAAUAAGCUAGGUAAUCACUCUUUGUAGAAGAAGCCAAAUGCCCAAUGGCCCAGCAAUGAAUCUCCCAUCUCUUAAACACCAUUUUGGGUACCCUUGUUUUAGGGUUUGAGAGGGUAUAUUCAGGUCAAAUGUGGUGGGCUCUAGCAUGGAGUGAACUGGCUCACCAGUGUCACAGUGUGAUUUCUCUCCUACCCUCUAUUUGUUAUUAUCUUUAUUUCAAUUACUUCAUAAAAUGACCAUUUGCAGUGGCGUCAAGAUAGUGGCAUGAGGGUGUUUGUACAAGCAAUCUUGGAUGGGAUGAUUAUUAUUGGCUCUCUGAAGGUAGGGUUGACCUCUCAUGCACAAACUGGUCGGGAGCUGAUGCCGCUUUCCUGAUGAGGCCAUGGCAGGUCGAAACCAGUUGUUGUGCUGAAAUACUGUGUAUAUCUUGCUCGAGGGACCGGAUGCUUGAGCCAUAUUGGACAUGGUACGGUAGAUUAUGAGUAUGUGAUUCGUGAUAUUGUUCUUGGGAGCGAUCUAUUGAGAGAAGGCUGCCCUAGUGUCUCGGCUCACUAGGCACCACACGGGCUUGUCCUUGGCCAGGAAUACUUUAGGCCCGUUAGAAAUCAUAUCAGAGCAACUUUCCCAAACUAAUAUGCACGGAUGCUAAGAAGAGAUCUGCCGCCACGUUUCUGACAAGAAGAAAAACCUUUGUUGGUUUGCUGAGAUCAAGAGAAGCCUAGUAGGCGAAAGAAGUGCUGCCAAGGAAGUGCAGUUGGCUCGAGAUGCCACACUUGUCAAGGAGAGUACAAGUGACUAGAGAUUCGCAAACAGCUUUGAUUGGGGAAAGCAACUAAUGGAGUGUAUUGGCUUGUUUUGUUGGGCGAGCAUUUGCCAUUCAUGUAAGGCCCAUGGGAGUGGCGGUGAUGGUUGAAGAAUGCAAGGAAGCGACAAAACAGCGAAACAAAGUGCUUGGUAGGCGAAAGAAAGUGCUGCAAAAGGAGUGCGGUUGGCUUGGAAUGCCACACUUGUCAAAGAGAGCACAAGUGACUGGAGAUUCGCAAACAGCUUUGAUCGGGGGAGCAACCAAUGGAGUUGAGUGGCUUAUUUUGUUGGGCGAGCGUUUACCAUUCAUGUAAGUCCCAUGGGAGUGGCGGUGAUGGUUGAAGAACACAAGGAAGCGACAAAAUAGCUUGCAACAAGGGUGUUGCUGGAAUUGGGCAGGGGAGAACAUCCGAGUUUUGUUUUCUCUCAUACCCAAGUGGGUUGAAAAGUGGAGGCUUUGUGGCAUCUAAGUGAAGUGCAAGAAAUACAAAAGGGUAAUACAACUGGUUUAUCGGGGUGGCAUCAGAGUGUUUGUGCAAGGAAUCCAGGGAUGUGAUGAUUAUAAAUUUAGAGGAUUUCUAAAGGCGGGGUUGGCCUCCCGUGCACAAACUGGUCGAGAGCUAAUGCCGCUCUCCUGAUGAUGGCCAUGGCAGGCCGAAACCAGUUAUUGUGCUAAAGUGAUUUGUAUAUUUUGCUACUCUAUUCUUGAGAACGAUCUAGCGAGAGAAGGCUGGCCCAAUGCUCCAGCUCACUAGCUGCCGCAUAGGCUCGUCCCUCGGCCGUGUAACUUUUGGCCCGUGACACUAGCCUCGCUAGAUUGGUAUAGACACUUGCUGUAGAAGAAUAUGUAUAAAUGUUUUUUUCCAAUAUCUGUCUGUAUAUGCUCCGCUCGCGUUUUUAACAUUGGUGGUUUUUGCAGGCUCGAAAAGUGGACAGAUUUUGCAGAUUUUGAGCGAGUUUCCUUUGUGCAGUCUGUUCCAAAAUGAACUCUCACUUCUUUCCAGUCGGAAUUCUUCUGUGAUUAGCCUCUUCGCAGAAGAUGGAGGGGAUUCAUCUGCCCAUACCCCCAUCUAACUGAAGCAAGAGAAUUUCUUUCUCAACGAGAUUUGGGCAGCAGUUGUUUAUACACCAUUCUUUGGGGAACAAAUGAGUCUGUGAUGAAAUUCUUCUCUAUUGUCAUGCUGCAAUU